AGAUGCUUUGACAGUACAAAUCCAGGCUUCAGAGGCUCUUCAAGGAUGGGUCCCACAGUUAUGUGAUCUGCUUGGAGCUGCAGCGACUCACGAGGCAGCCCACUCCUUUCCUGCAUGAGGCUUAGUAGCAGGAACCAGAAGACCUGGCUUCCCCCCUCCAGGCCUGCUGCUUGCUGGCCAUGCAACCUCCAGCAAGCUCCAGAAGAUUUGCAAGGAGGCAUGAGUUCGGGAGCCGGAGUGGAGAGGGGAAUGGAGCUGAACCACGCCACAUCCCCACAAAGACGUCAUCCUAAUCCCCAGGACCGGGGACUUACGAGGCAGCAGGGACUUGGCAAAUGUGACUAAACCAAAAACCUUGAGCUGGGAGACACCCUGGCUUAUGUGGUUGGAUGACACCCACGGUAACCACAGGGUCAUCGCCCAUGGGCCACCAUCCUCCCUGCCCUCGGACAGCAGCUCCCCUGCUUGGGGUUUGGACUGAAACUACACCCCCUUCCCAGAGGCAGGCAGGAGGGUCAGAUCAGCAGCAGGAGCUCACAGAUUCUGGGGUAGGUGAGGAAGGGGCCACGAGCCACAGAAUGCGCAGCCUCUAGAAAAAGGCAAGGAAAGGGAUCCUCCCCGACACCUCCAGAAAGAGCCGGCCCCCCGAAGGCUUGGUUCUAGACUUCUGACCUCCUGGACGGUCGGAGAAGGCAUUCGUGUUGUUUCCAGCUGCUGAGUGUGUGGUAAUUUGUCACACACUCCGCAGGAAACGAAUACAGAGGGAAGCCGGAACAGGGAGGAUGUAAAGCAGCUGGAGAAGAUACUGGGGACAGGCUCCCUCUGCUCCGGCUGCCCUAACGGAAUACCACUCGGGGGCUUAAACAGCAGCCGUCGCUGUCUCUCUGUCUGGAGGCUGGGAGUCUGAGAGCAAGGUGUCGGUGGGGCUGGUCUCCUCGGAGGUCUCUCUUCUUGCUGUGUAGACGGCCGCCCUCUGGACACACACUCCUGGCAUCUCCCUGUGUCCUAAUCUGUUCUUACAGGGACACCAGCCAGAUCAUGGGCCUCAUGGUAACGUGUCACCUCUGUAAAGACCUUGUUUCCAAAUACAGUCACAUUCUGAGGUGCUGGGGUGGGAUUGGGGAAUUAGGGCUUCAACAUGGGAAUUCGGGAGGCAUGUAACAGGGAGCCUCCAAGCCUGCCUCAUUCCCACCAGGCCCUCACUUUUCUGGCAGCUUCCAGACCUCCCUAGGGCCCAGCUUGAGCCCAGGCAGCCACUGCCUGUAGAACCAGUUGCAGCUGCCAGGAGAACCAGUUGAGGCAGGCCAGGGGGGCGUGGGUUUGGAGAAGGGACCAGGAUCCCUGAGGACUGGUGGUCAGGACAGGAUCUAGGCGCGGGGGUCCUAAGUUGGGCGUGAAGAACUCAGUCUCUCCCAGGCCAGACCGCAGAGUCCCUCUCCCAGUCCUGACGGGGGCCCCUGAAGGCGCCAGGGAACAAGCGGUGGUGGUAGGUGGCCAGCAGCAGGGUCAGGAGUUAGAUGUGCCCUGGUGACUCGGCUCUUUGCAGGGACAUUGACAGGGGAGGACUGGAAGAGCCAGGGGAGUGUGCAGUACUCAGCCCCCACUGCAGCCCAGGACUGAGAGAGGAGAGGUUUCUCCCAACACCACCCGGGCCCCUGACCACACCUGGCCCCAGAGCCUCAGGCAGCAGGAGUGACUCAGAGUGCCUUCCAGACUCCCUCCUCUCAGCCUCCACUUGGCUCCCACCAGUAUCUCUCCCCCCCGCUCCACCCCAUCAUCUCCCCAUCACCUCCCCCUCCUCCAGGCUGGGAUGGACUCCCUCCCUCCCACAAACUGCAGAGGCAGGUUUCAGACAGAAGACAGCCCAUGCCAGGUAUGCAAAUAGAGAAGACUCAAUACAAAUAGUUGCAUAAGGUAUAAAUUGCUACACCAGUGACUCAAAGGUAAAAAGAGAACUUUACAAUAUCACCCCCGAGGCAGAGGCAGAAAAGGGAACAGCUGCGAUUAUUAAAACAUAGACAUGUGGGCCUAGGACCUCAACCUCGGAGGGAGGGGGUCCAGCGGGUGCCAGUGUGUCUGAGGUGCCACAAAGUCGUUUUUACAAGUGUCGGAAAAGCCACCAAUGGGUUCAGCUCCCCACCUCGACCCUCUAUGAAACUAUAUUUCUACAGCUUCUUCAUAAAAGCACAAGUCACAGGCAUGCAGAAAGACCCACAUCCUCUGUGACACCUUCCUCCCGCUUCGCCCGUGGCCUGUGUCGGCCAAGGGCACAAAGUCUUGGAAUCUAAUAGGGCAUCGUGGAACCCAAUGCUGGCCCUUUUCCUGUCUCACUACUUCAGCUUGUGUGGUGGUUGAUCUUAGGUGUCAACCUCACAGGGCUGAGGGAUGCCCGUAGCUGGUAAAACACGAUUUCUGCCUGUGACUUCAAGGGCCUUUCUAGAAGUGAUUCACAUUUGAAUCAGUGGGUGAGGAGCGCAGAUCCCAUCCCCAUGGUGACGGACCCAUUUGAGGGCCCACAUGGAACCAAAGGGUGGAGGAAGGGGAAUUUACACUCUCUGUUGAGCUGGGACGUCCAUCUUCUCCGGCCCUCAGACAUUGAUGCUCCUGGUUCUGGGGCCUUCGGACUUGGACUGAAUGACCCCCCCUUACCCCAGCUCUCCUGGGCCUCCCAGAUGGAGGGACUUCUCAGCCUCCAAAAUCACCACGUUCUCUCUGGAACCUUGGGAUUUCCAUUGCCUGCUGUGAUUUAAAGCCAAAUCUGAGAAGACCAGAUCAUUCCAUUGCCAUGAACUGAUGAACUAGCCACACUUCAGCAUCCAGAGGGAGUUAUUAGAUCAGUGACCCAGUCCAGCCCAUGAGGGAGCUGCGUGGUAAAGGG
This is a long non-coding RNA of Hippopotamus amphibius kiboko, 2878 nucleotides long. RefSeq lists it as uncharacterized. The record is from RefSeq and is a predicted model, not a curated record. NCBI's taxonomy places the organism in Eukaryota, Metazoa, Chordata, Mammalia, Artiodactyla, Hippopotamidae. The transcript has 4 exons.